CAGUCUUUGAAUGAAUACAACGUUGUCUGGUUGGAAUAUUAUCGCUACUUUACGAGAAAAAUCGCAUAAAAAUUGAUUUUAAACAGCGUUUGACAUGCUUCGAAGUACGGUAAUGGAAUAUUUUGCAUUUUUUUGUCACGAAAUGCGCUCGCGCGUCACCCUUCGGAUUGUGACCUGAACGCACGAACAAAACGGAGCUAUUUCAAUAUAACUAUGGAUUAUUUGGAACCAAAACAACAUUUGUUGUUGAAGUAUAAGUCCUGGGAGUGCAUUCUGACGAAGAACAGCAAAGCCUGUCCUCCUGAGGCGCUCCACCCUACCUAGGUCCUGGAGAAGGGAAAAGGCACAGGGGAAUCUCCAAAGUCAAAGCGGCAGGUACUGGGAGAAUAGUCAAGGUAAAGAUGAACAGAGCAAAGUCCAGUAUUUCGUGAUGAAAACCUGCUCCAGAGUGCUCAGGACCUCAGACUGGGGCGAAGGAUCACCUUCCACAGGACAAUGACCCUAAGAACACAGCCAAGACAGCGUAGGAGUGGCUUCGGGACAAGUUUCUGAAUGUCCUCGAGUGGCCCAGCCAGAUCCCGAUUGAACAUCUCUGGAAAGACCUGAAAAUAGCUGUGCAGCAAUGCUCCCCAUCCAACCCGACAGAGCUUGAGAGGAAUGAGAGAAACUCCACAAAUACAGGUGUGCCAAGCUUGUAGCAUCAUACCCAACAAUACUCAAGGCUGG
Molecule: long non-coding RNA, 726 nt
Filed under: Salmo salar (Atlantic salmon)
Lineage: Eukaryota; Metazoa; Chordata; Actinopteri; Salmoniformes; Salmonidae
Description: lncRNA (ENSSSAG00000108173.1)
Source: RNAcentral